GCCAGGCGUGGUGGCGAACGCCUGUAGUCCCAGCUACUCAGGAGGCUGAGGCAGAAGAAUUGCUUGAACCUGGGAGGCAGAGGUUGCAGUGAGCCGAGAUCAUGCCACUACACUCUAGCCUGGGUGACAGAGCGAGACUCUGUCUCAA
RNAcentral lists this non-coding RNA (148 nucleotides) under Gorilla gorilla gorilla (western lowland gorilla). Lineage: Eukaryota; Metazoa; Chordata; Mammalia; Primates; Hominidae. The record is from Rfam by way of RNAcentral.